CAAUUUUUUAUAUCUCUGCUUACAUAUAAAGUAUAUUCACACCAUUCAUGACUUCAUACAUGUAUGUAGGGUAAUGAAGUCCAUCUCAUUCCACCAUCUUUUUUACACCCCUUGCCCCCUCCCUCCUCCUCCCUCCCCUUUACCCUAUCUAGAAUUCCUCUAAUCUUCCCAUGUUCCCCCUCCCAACACCACUAUGAAUCAGCUUCCUUAUAUCAGAGAAAACAUUCGGCAUUUGGUUUUUGGGGAUUGACUAAUUUCACUUAGUAUUAUAUUCUCCAACUCCACCCAUUUACCUGCAAAUGUCAUGAUUUUAUUCUCUUUUAUUGUUGAGUAAUAUUCCAUUGUGUAUGUAUACCACCUUUUCUUUAUCCGUUCAUCUACUGAUGGGCAUCUAGGUUGGUUCCACAGUGUAGCUAUUGUGAAUUGUGCUGCUGUAACCAUUGAUGUGGCUGGGUCCCUGUAGUAUGCUCUUUUUAAGUCCUUUGGAUAUAGACUGAGGAGAGGGAUAGCUGGGUCAAAUGGUGGUUUCAUUCCCAGUUUUCCAAGGAAUCUCCUUACUGCUUUCCAUAUUGGCUACAUCAAUUUACAGUCCUACCAGCAAUGUGUACCUUUUCCCCAUGUCCUCGCCAGGACUUGUUGUUUAUCUUCAUAAUAGCUGCCAUUCUGACAGGAGUGAGGUGAAAUCUUAGAGUAGUUUUGAUUUGCAUUUCUCUAAUGGCUAGAGAUGAUGAACAUUUUUUCAUGUAUUUGUUAAUUGAUUGUGUAUCAUCUUCUAAGAAGUGUCUGUUUAGUUACU
Molecule: long non-coding RNA, 796 nt
Filed under: Marmota monax (woodchuck)
Lineage: Eukaryota; Metazoa; Chordata; Mammalia; Rodentia; Sciuridae
Source: RNAcentral